GAUGAACGCUAGCGGCAGGCUUAACACAUGCAAGUCGAGGGGUAUAGUUCUUCGGAGCUAGAGACCGGCGCACGGGUGCGUAACGCGUAUGCAAUCUACCUUUUGCAGAGGGAUAGCCCAGAGAAAUUUGGAUUAAUACCUCAUGGUAUGUGAGAAUGGCAUCAUUUUCACAUUAAAGUCACAACGGCAAAAGAUGAGCAUGCGUCCCAUUAGCUAGUUGGUAAGGUAACGGCUUACCAAGGCAACGAUGGGUAGGGGUCCUGAGAGGGAGAUCCCCCACACUGGUACUGAGACACGGACCAGACUCCUACGGGAGGCAGCAGUGAGGAAUAUUGGACAAUGGGCGCAAGCCUGAUCCAGCCAUGCCGCGUGCAGGAUGACGGUCCUAUGGAUUGUAAACUGCUUUUGUACAGGAAGAAACACUGGUUCGUGAACCAGCUUGACGGUACUGUAAGAAUAAGGAUCGGCUAACUCCGUGCCAGCCGCCGCAGUAA
Molecule: ribosomal RNA, 494 nt
Filed under: uncultured bacterium
Lineage: Bacteria
Description: partial 16S ribosomal RNA
Rfam family: Bacterial small subunit ribosomal RNA
Source: RNAcentral